Molecule: non-coding RNA, 46 nt
Organism: Merops nubicus (carmine bee-eater)
Lineage: Eukaryota; Metazoa; Chordata; Aves; Coraciiformes; Meropidae
Source: Rfam
CAAACAGCUUCUCUAGAAGCUAUCUUUUUAUUUAAGAAAAACAGUG